RNAcentral lists this ribosomal RNA (253 nucleotides) under uncultured bacterium. RNAcentral's name for it is "partial 16S ribosomal RNA". It matches the Rfam family "Bacterial small subunit ribosomal RNA", at positions 524 to 776 of the family's 1533-position model. The record is from RNAcentral.
UACGUAGGGGCCGAGCGUUGUCCGGAGUUACUGGGCGUAAAGCGCGCGCAGGCGGCUCGCUUUGCCCGGCGUGAAAGCCCACGGCUCAACCGUGGAGGGUCAUUGGAAACUGGGGAACUUGAGUGCAGAAGAGGAAAGUGGAAUUCCAAGUGUAGCGGUGAAAUGCGUAGAGAUUUGGAGGAAUACCAGUGGCGAAGGCGACUUUCUGGUCUGUAACUGACACUGAGGCGCGAAAGCGUGGGGAGCGAACAGG